RNAcentral lists this ribosomal RNA (406 nucleotides) under uncultured bacterium. RNAcentral's name for it is "partial 16S ribosomal RNA". It matches the Rfam family "Bacterial small subunit ribosomal RNA", at positions 29 to 526 of the family's 1533-position model. The record is from RNAcentral.
AUUGAACGCUGGCGGCAGGCUUAACACAUGCAAGUCGAGCGAGCGGCGGACGGGUGAGUAAUGUCUGGGAAACUGCCUGAUGGAGGGGGAUAACUACUGGAAACGGUAGCUAAUACCGCAUACCAUCAGAUGUGCCCAGAUGGGAUUAGCUAGUAGGUGGGGUAAUGGCUCACCUAGGCGACGAUCCCUAGCUGGUCUGAGAGGAUGACCAGCCACACUGGGAAUGGGACACGGGCCAGACACCUCCGGGGGGCAGAAGUGGGGAAUAUAUCGCAAGAGGGGCAAGCGUGAGGCAGACAUGCCGCGUGUGUGAAGAAGGCCUUCGGGUUGUAAAGCACUUUCAGCGAGGAGGCGUUACUCGCAGAAGAAGCACCGGCUAACUCCGUGCCAGCAGCCGCGGUAAUUC